This 305-nucleotide ribosomal RNA is filed under the name Sarsia environmental sample. RNAcentral's name for it is "SSU rRNA". It matches the Rfam family "Eukaryotic small subunit ribosomal RNA", at positions 595 to 906 of the family's 1831-position model. Lineage: Eukaryota; Metazoa; Cnidaria; Hydrozoa; Anthoathecata; Corynidae. The record is from RNAcentral.
UAGCGUAUAUUAAAGUUGUUGCAGUUAAAAAGCUCGUAGUUGGAUUUCGGAAUGGGUCAAUUGGUCCGCCGCAAGGUGAGUUACUGGUUGGUCUGUUCUUCUUCGCAAAGACUGCGUAUGCACUUUAUUGGGUGUGCGUAGGAUUUACGACGUUUACUUUGAAAAAAUUAGAGUGUUCAAAGCAGGCUAUCGCUUGAAUACAUGAGCAUGGAAUAAUGGAAUAGGACUUUGGUCUUAUUUUAUUGGUUUCUGAGACCGAAGUAAUGAUUAAGAGGGACAAUUGGGGGCAUCCGUAUUUCGUUGUC